CCUACGUGAGGCAGCAGUGAGGAAUAUUGGUCAAUGGACGAGAGUCUGAACCAGCCAAGUAGCGUGAAGGAUGACUGCCCUAUGGGUUGUACACUUCUUUUAUAAAGGAAUGAAACGAGGCCCUUGUGCCUUUUUGCAUUUACUUUAUGAAUAAGGAUCGGCUACAUCCGUGCCAGCAGCCGCGUUAAUACGGAAGGUCCGGGCGUUAUCCGGAUUUAUUUGGUUUAAAGGUCGCGUAGGCAGGGUUUUAAGUCAGCUGGGAAAGUCCGGGGCUCACCCGUGGAAUUGCAGUUGAAACUGGAGGCCUUGAGUGCACACAGGGAUGCCGGAAUUCAUGGUGUAGCGGUGAAAUGCUUAGAGAUCAUGAAGAACUCCGAUCGCGAAGGCAAGUGUCCGGGGUGCAACUGACGCUGAGGCUCGAAAGUGCGGGUAUCAAACAGGAUUAGAUACCCCAGUAGUC
Molecule: ribosomal RNA, 460 nt
Filed under: uncultured bacterium
Lineage: Bacteria
Description: partial 16S ribosomal RNA
Rfam family: Bacterial small subunit ribosomal RNA
Source: RNAcentral